Alexandromys fortis (reed vole) is the source of this 367-nucleotide long non-coding RNA. RefSeq lists it as uncharacterized. NCBI's taxonomy places the organism in Eukaryota, Metazoa, Chordata, Mammalia, Rodentia, Cricetidae. The record is from RefSeq and is a predicted model, not a curated record. The transcript has 2 exons.
UAAAAACUUCACGGCUUGUUUCCCUGAUGAGUCCACAUCCUGUAGCAAGGGCUAGGAAGCCUCUAAGUGGCCCCAGAACAUGCCGACUUCGGGGUGCUUUGCAGCUUCAGUUAUGUGAAGGUGCCCAAAGAAGCCAGAAGACUGCAUUUGCUUCCCUAGAACUGGAAUUCCAGGCACUUGGGAACUUCCCAGUGUGAAGGCUAAUCAUGGGUCCUCCGAAUACAAAGCUACCUUCUUAACCCCUGAGCCAUCUCUCCAGCCUUGCCAAAAUCGGACUUCUGUGGAAUUACUUUUGAUAUCUGUUAAUGUCAUUCUUUUUGUUUUGACUUAUUGUGAUUUAAAAAUCAGUAAUCAAGGAUGAAAACAA